This is an RNA transcript of Betta splendens (Siamese fighting fish), 1744 nucleotides long. It is a transcript of the gene named CD276 antigen-like, with no coding region annotated. The transcript has 5 exons. The record is from RefSeq and is a predicted model, not a curated record. Lineage: Eukaryota; Metazoa; Chordata; Actinopteri; Anabantiformes; Osphronemidae.
UGCCGGGGGGGAUGGGGUGACUUCUGGGAACUUUUUUAACGCAGGUAGUUCUUAGCCGUCCAAAGUUCAGAUGCAACAAGAACGGUGAACCGGAGACGGAGACAAUGAGACAAACGAUAAAGAUGAUCCUCAGGAUCCUGCUGCUCAUCAGCUUCAUCUCAUGCGUCUCUGGAUCAUUAGUAGUGAAUGUGACCCAGACCCACUAUCAGGCAGAGCAGAACCACAGCAUCACACUGGAGUGGACCUUCACACCCAAACCUGACGUGUCCAUCACCUCAGUUUACAUCAUCUGUGAGCUGGUGACUGAUCUCAGAGCCUCAGUCCUGUUUCAUCUCCAUGAAGGUGUUGAGGUCUCAGAGUCUCAGGAUCAACAGUUUUCAGGACGAGUCCAGUUUGACAGAGACGAGCUCAGGGAAGGACGCCUCAGACUCCAAGUGUCCAGACUCAGGACUGAUGACUCAGGACGCUAUGACUGUACCAUCAGAACAUCAGAUGGUUGGAACACGGACGUAUGUCGACUCAACGUCACUGAAACAUAGUGAAUCUAAUGAUUCAAACUCAACCUGGACAUAUUGGACAUAUAUAAGGACUGACGGCUGACUGACGUUGUGCUUCUCUCCUCUCUCCCCCCCCACCCCCACUCUUUCUCCCUCUCUGUCCUCACCCACAGGUAUCAUUGGACUCAAGACAGUUUGGUGUCUGUGAUGGGCAGCUGCGGAUCCAACCAUCCUGCCUGCAUCCAGUCCCUGGUCCUACCAUCCUGCCUGUGCUCUGUUGUUGCUUGUUGUUGCUUGUUGCUGUUGCUCUGCUUUUCUAUCUUUCUAUCCUCUCACCCCAACCGGUCGAGGCAGAUGGCCGCCCACAUCCAGUCUGGUUCUGCUGGAGGUUUCUUCCUCGUUAGAGAGGGAGUUUUUCCUCUCCACUGUUGCUGUCAAAUUAAAUGCUUGCUGUAUGUGGGAUUUGUUGGGUUUAGUUGUGUGAGGUUUUAAACCUUACUUUGUAAAGUGCCUUGAAAUAACUUUGUUGUGAUUUGGCGCUAUAUAAAUAAAAUUGAAUUGAAUUGAAUUGAAUAUAAUUCCUGACCUGGAGCAGUGUAAAGUUUUAUGUUUGUGAACUUGUUGAACACAUUUGAUAAAUUACAGGGAGAGAAGACACACAGUGAUUAUUUUUUCCAUGUUCUUUACAGCAGCUGUUGAUCAGCACAAAGCUCAAACAACAGUAAGUCCAGAACCAGCGAACCGGGGGAGAACAGGUCUUUACGCUGCAUUGGUGCUAUUUGUCUGUGUUCUACUGUUACGUUUUUCCGUUGUCCUAUCAGAACUAAACCUCAGAAAGACGAAUGUUUUUGUCUUUGAUCAAGAAGUUUCAUACACACACAAAAACAUUGUUGGUGAACAGAACAUUUUGAACUGUGCUUCAACAUCAGCAUUUACACCCAUAGAAAACCUGUGUCCUCAGUCUUAAGGCUGAGACGUGUCGUAUUUUACUCCAUGUCAGGUUGAAACUCUUCUGUUGAGCCAGAGUUCAAAGACAAACCUGGGUUUGGAUCCACCCUCAGUUCCUGAGACUCAAACCUUCCCUGUGUGUUUCCAUGUUGUCUAGUGUCAGUUUGAGUUAGUGGAGGUGACUCUGCUUUUCUGUAACAUGUGUUACAGUAAUUAAUGUAAUGUGUGUAACAUGUACAGUAAUUAAGCACUUUAUCAGUUAUUUAUACAUAUUGUAAAUUAAAUCUUAUUCAUACUGA